GUUUGAUUGUAUUCUGUUUGGGUCUCAAAAUGGAUGACGUGGCAACAACUGAUUGGUAAAUGCUACUUGGAAGGGCGCAUCGGUAAUAUCCAAACGAAAGUAUAUGAUAUAGUCAAAGAUAUUAUAAAGCUCUCCGCCAAAUCACGAUCUGAUUCCCGAGUCGACUCAGAGAAGGCAACCGGAACAGCUCCCAAGAGGAAAUGAGGCGGCAGCACCAGCCUACGCAGGAGGAGAACAACAAGCGGUGGGGGAGCCUCAGGUGGGGCGCGGGGACUAGCUUCAGUUUUACACAGAUGAUGCUCCGGACUCAAGAUCCCUGAGCAUCGGUUCAUUUCUUUUGUUGCAAUUCUCCAUGUUAUGGGCAAGGUAUAUUUUUUUGCUAAGGAUUAGGAAGCCUUUAAGUAGCAACACUUUUCACAGUUGUGCUUUGCAGUUUUCCUUGUUACUGGAUUUGAUUUAUUCUAUCAGCCCGACUUUUCUUAAUUACGG
This is a long non-coding RNA of Hibiscus syriacus, 489 nucleotides long. RefSeq lists it as uncharacterized. The transcript is spliced from 2 exons. Lineage: Eukaryota; Viridiplantae; Streptophyta; Magnoliopsida; Malvales; Malvaceae. The record is from RefSeq and is a predicted model, not a curated record.